UUAAAUAAUCUUGUACUGCU
Molecule: microRNA, 20 nt
Filed under: Rosa chinensis
Lineage: Eukaryota; Viridiplantae; Streptophyta; Magnoliopsida; Rosales; Rosaceae
Description: sRNA RchiOBHm_Chr6g0295935
Source: RNAcentral